GCCUGGGUGGCUUUGUCGGUUAAGCAUCCGACUUCGGCUCAGGUCAUGAUCUCAUGGUCCGUGGGUUCGAGCCCCGCGUCGGGCU
Molecule: non-coding RNA, 85 nt
Organism: Felis catus (domestic cat)
Lineage: Eukaryota; Metazoa; Chordata; Mammalia; Carnivora; Felidae
Source: Rfam